This is an RNA transcript of Gossypium arboreum, 1699 nucleotides long. RefSeq lists it as uncharacterized. The transcript has 5 exons. The record is from RefSeq and is a predicted model, not a curated record. Lineage: Eukaryota; Viridiplantae; Streptophyta; Magnoliopsida; Malvales; Malvaceae.
CAAAUUCAAAGCUAAGGUCAAUACCGUCCUAUUGAAUUCCCUUUCAAUUAACUUCUUUCAGCCCCGUAAAACGCCCGCCCAAACGAGCAAUCUCAAAUCUGGGAACUACGAAGGGCAUCAGCUCUCAAAUCGCAAGGGGAGCUUUAGAUAAAAUGGCCGCAUUGAAGGCGGCGUAUGCAGAGGUAAUACUGAACACGGCAAAGGAAGCAGCGGCGAGAGUGAUAAUUUCGGAGAAAAGAGCAGCGUUGUUUCAGCAGCAACUGGAUUGUUCCAACAAGGAGUCGCUUCGUUUGCUUCUUCAGUUGAAACACAUGAUCGACGACAAGACGAUUGAAGCAGAGACAACAUCCUUGAACCAAAAGAGAAAGAUUGAUGAGCUAGAAGCGCAGCUGCAUGAAGCAGAGGAUAUUAUAACAGAUCUUAGAGUGGAAUUAAAUUGUCUACGGGAUAAGCUUAAAAUUGCAAAGAAAACUCAAGCGAAGCCUUUUAGUGGAGAAAUCAUUAGUGGGGAUGCAACAGCUUCUUUAAAAUAUCCAAUAACUAAGCCCACUGUACAAUCUCCGUUGAAUUCAGGAUAUGUGACUGUUGCAGAAUCUGACAUGAGGGAGAAUGUAUUCAAUCAUGGAUAUCUUCAUAGAUGCUGCAAUGCUACAAAGCAAACUGGUCAACCUAAUGUGUCUCAUGUUGAGAGUUAUUAUCAUCAUAGCUCUGACUUGACCACCAUAUUUAUGGCAAGCAAGAAGCAAGUGCUGUAUACACAGAGAACUUGUGCUCCUCAGAGAAACUUGGAGAUGAAACACACAAUCAAUGGAAAUGUUAAACCAUAUGAAGAUUCUCACACUGUAUCCUCCAUCAGGGUUGGUAAUGUUGAUCGAACAGAAAGCUAUACAAAAUCAGAAGAAGAAUUCCAGCAUAAAAGCAGCAGUCAUGAAGAUAUUAUGACCGUCUAUAAUGGAAAAGUGAACAUAUACAAUCAGCUCACUGAGCCUUAUCAGUCAUCAUUAGUUCCUAGCUCUUCUGCAGUCUGCUUUAAUGUUGAUUCAAAUGAAAGUGACUUGAAAACAGGUGAAACCGAGAUCAAGAUGAAGCCGUUGACCCGUUUGGGUCCUGGACCAACACUUAUUAAAUGUAAAGUGGAUCCUGCAUCAAACGCAACUGAUGAGUCUUCGGCUAUGGUGGAUAGAACCAACGACAGCAUCCACAUCAGGAAGCGCAAGAAGGAAUCCCUUGGGAACACAGAUGAAAAGACUUGUAAAGGGAGAAGUUUAAAAAGGAGGGCUGGGGCUGGGGAGAAAGAGAACAGUUUACAAGAAAUUUCCAAGUCUAAAUUGGUUAAUGAAUGCUCUAAGGAGAGUCGACGACUGGCUCAGGUUGCUCACCAGCUCAUUUCUUUAUCAGGCAAAAGAUGGUAAUUGGUGGAUUAGUUUAACAUUAAUCUAACCAAACAAAGGAAUGUUUGAAACUGUAGGUGUUUCCUGAGGAAUUCCUUUUCAAUGAAAGAGUGGGAUGACGCAGGAGGUGUUUGUUGUUCUUGCAAUGAAAAAACACCAAGGUGGACUUCUUGGACAAAAGCAAAUCCAGGAGAAUGUUUAUGUGUGUCCAAUAUACCAGAUAAAAUUUAUAUGUUCUAAUAAAACUGUAUUUUAAAACAUAUGUUGUUAAUAAAAUUGAAUGCUUAUCAGAUUAUGAUUUUUUUAUA